ACUUGCUCUGCAAGCAUCCGUUAAACUUGGAACGAUACAGAGAAGAUUAGCAUGGCCCCAGCGCAUGGAUGACACGCAAGACUCGAGAAGAAGUCCCUUUUUCC
Molecule: small nuclear RNA, 104 nt
Filed under: Emiliania huxleyi
Lineage: Eukaryota; Haptophyta; Isochrysidales; Noelaerhabdaceae
Also listed under: 1 other name
Source: RNAcentral